UGGCUCAGGAUGAACGCUAGCGGCAGGCUAACACAUGCAAGUCGAGGGGCAUCGGGAGUAGCAAUACUUGCCGGCGACCGGCGCAAGGGUGCGUAACGCGUGAGCAACAUGCCCGUAUCAGGGGGAUAAUCCAUGGAAACGUGGUCUAAUACCCCAUAGUAAUUAUGUAAGGCAUCUUAUAUAAUUUAAAGCUUUGGUGGAUACGGAUUGGCUCGCGUGACAUUAGCUGGAUGGUAAGGUAACGGCUUACCAUGGCUACGAUGUCUAGGGGUUCUGAGAGGAAGGUCCCCCACACUGGAACUGAGACACGGUCCAGACUCCUACGGGAGGCAGCAGUGAGGAAUAUUGGACAAUGGAUGGAAAUCUGAUCCAGCCAUGCCGCGUGCAGGAAGAACCGGCCCUAUGGGUUGUAAACUGCUUUUGUAUGGGAGCAAUAAGGGCUACGUGUAGUCCGAUGAGAGUACCAUACGAAUAAGCACCGGCUAACUCCGUGCCAGCAGCAGC
This 504-nucleotide ribosomal RNA is filed under the name uncultured bacterium. RNAcentral describes it as "bacterial SSU rRNA". It matches the Rfam family "Bacterial small subunit ribosomal RNA", at positions 20 to 518 of the family's 1533-position model. The record is from RNAcentral.